Molecule: ribosomal RNA, 339 nt
Filed under: uncultured bacterium
Lineage: Bacteria
Description: bacterial SSU rRNA
Rfam family: Bacterial small subunit ribosomal RNA
Source: RNAcentral
ACUCCUACGGGAGGCAGCAGUGGGGAAUAUUGCACAAUGGGCGCAAGCCUGAUGCAGCCAUGCCGCGUGUAUGAAGAAGGUCUUCGGGUUGUAAAGCACUUUCAGUAGGGAGGAAGGUAGUGGUAGUUAACACCUGCAUUAUUUUGACGUACCUACAGAAGAAAGCACCGGCUAACUCCUGCCAGCAGCCGCGGUAAUACGGAGGGUGCGAGCGUUAAUCGGAAUUACUGGGCGUAAAGCGCAUGCAGGCGGCCUGUUAAGUCAGAUGUGAAAGCCCGGGGCUUAACCUCGGAAUUGCAUUUGAAACUGGCAGGCUAGAGUCUUGUAGAGGGGGGUGAG